RNAcentral lists this ribosomal RNA (253 nucleotides) under uncultured bacterium. Its description in RNAcentral is "partial 16S ribosomal RNA". It matches the Rfam family "Bacterial small subunit ribosomal RNA", at positions 524 to 776 of the family's 1533-position model. The record is from RNAcentral.
UCCGAAGGGGGCUAGCGUUGUUCGGAAUCACUGGGCGUAAAGGGCGCGUAGGCGGCUUUAUAAGUCGGGGGUGAAAGCCUGUGGCUCAACCACAGAAUUGCCUUCGAUACUGUAGAGCUUGAGACCGGAAGAGGUAAGUGGAACUGCGAGUGUAGAGGUGAAAUUCGUAGAUAUUCGCAAGAACACCAAUGGCGAAAGCAGCUUUCUGGGACGGUACUGACGCUGAGACGCGAAAGCGUGGGGAGCGAACAGG